This 134-nucleotide small RNA is filed under the name Salmonella enterica. Its description in RNAcentral is "RtT sRNA". It matches the Rfam family "RtT RNA". From Rfam's summary of the family: This family represents a bacterial cis-regulatory element known as RtT RNA. RNAcentral also lists the same sequence under 1 other name. Lineage: Bacteria; Pseudomonadati; Pseudomonadota; Gammaproteobacteria; Enterobacterales; Enterobacteriaceae. The record is from RNAcentral.
UGUAUCUGAGGCCUGACGAGGAUGAGAACCUCCGGGGGCAAGAGGUUCGACCCGAGCGAAGCGAGAGAACGUUGCGCCAGCAACGGCCCGCAGGGCGAGCCACGCAGUGGCGAGUCAUCCUCUAUCACCGACCA